Molecule: ribosomal RNA, 599 nt
Filed under: Anaerolineae bacterium
Lineage: Bacteria; Bacillati; Chloroflexota; Anaerolineae
Description: bacterial SSU rRNA
Rfam family: Bacterial small subunit ribosomal RNA
Source: RNAcentral
AAUACGGAGAGUUUGAUCCUGGCUCAGGAUGAACGCUGGCGGCGUGCCUAAUACAUGCAAGUCGAACGUGAUCCCUAAUUUCGGUUAGGGUGAAAGUGGCGAACGGGUGAGUAACACAUAGCUGACCUGCCCUUCAGAGGGGGACAACCGCUGGAAACGGUGGCUAAUACCCCAUACGCUCGCUCGGGUUAGAGGCCGGGUGAGGAAAGGCUGAGGUGCUGAGGGAGGGGGCUGUGGCCCAUCAGCUAGUUGGUAGGGUAAUGGCCUACCAAGGCGAGGACGGGUAGGGGACCUGAGAGGGUGACCCCCCACACGGGCACUGAGAGACGGGCCCGACUCCUACGGGAGGCAGCAGUAAGGGAUAUUGCGUCAAUGGGCGAAAGCCUGACGCAGCAACGCCGCGUGCGGGAAGAAGGCCUUCGGGUUGUAAACCGCUUUUCUAGGGGAAGAGGGAGGACGGUACCCUAGGAAGAAGUCUCGGCUAACUACGUGCCAGCAGCCGCGGUAAAACGUAGGAGGCGAGCGUUAUCCGGAUUUACUGGGUGUAAAGCGCGUGCAGGCGGUUUAGCAAGUCGUGCGUGAAAGCGCUCUGGCUCAAC